UCCCGUGGGAUCGCGGUUGGGUGGGCGGUCUUUGCGAGCUCCUUGUCUCCACUGGUGCCGCGAGAGUCCUCUCUGGGCAGGCGGCGGGCGCGGAGUCGUGGAUUCGGCUUCGUGCGGAUUGCUGGCUUCACCCGGCGUGUGACGAGCCGUGGGAUCCAGCUCUGUGGAAAACACAAAGCAAACCUGGGAGAGUGGUGAACAGAUGGAUGAGGGACAAAAUCAUGUCCGUUACUCAAUCUUGAGAACUGCCCAAGGUGACUCUACUUCUCGCUCUCCUUCAGUAACCUCAAAUCUGAUGUUUGCCCUCCAGAAAAAAGAACAGUCAGAAGAUGAAUGCGUCCAUAUCAGUGGCUGCUCAUGGCCUCCCUUUUGGGGAGGAAGUAAAUGAUAUGUACUGAAAGCCCCAUGGUUACUUUUGGAAUGGUCUACUAGAUUUGACCAGUGCUGGAGAGUAUUCAGUGGAUGAUUUGCAGUUACAUCUGCUAAGAUAGACUGAAAAGUCCUUGCAAGAAAGGUGGUGUGGGGAGACCUUCAAGAUGGCGGAGGAGUAAGAUGUGGAGAUCACCUUCCUCCCUGCAAAUACAUCAGAAAUACAUCUACACGUGGAACAACUCCUACAGAACACCGACU
Long non-coding RNA from Delphinapterus leucas (beluga whale), 630 nucleotides. RefSeq lists it as uncharacterized. The record is from RefSeq and is a predicted model, not a curated record. NCBI's taxonomy places the organism in Eukaryota, Metazoa, Chordata, Mammalia, Artiodactyla, Monodontidae.